Long non-coding RNA from Pseudopipra pipra, 6542 nucleotides. RefSeq lists it as uncharacterized. NCBI's taxonomy places the organism in Eukaryota, Metazoa, Chordata, Aves, Passeriformes, Pipridae. The transcript is spliced from 2 exons. The record is from RefSeq and is a predicted model, not a curated record.
GCUUGUAUGACUUUCUCAAAACUCUGGCUGUUUUCAGCUAAAGUUUGUCAGGGUAACAGUCUGUGAAGAGUUCAAAGCUUUCUUCAUGCACUGUUUUUUUUUUUUUCUGUAUUACUAAGGUAGAGAUCCUGAAUUCAUGUUUGGAAAGGAUAAUUACUCUCUCUUAUGCUUUCUAUAUGCAGUUAUGCACUGUGUGGGUAGUGAUGUGGAUUGUACUGAGAUUUAAGUUCCUGGGAUAUCAUUCAGCUUUACAGGCCACUUAUCAAUCUAGUCAAUGGAAACCAUUAUAUUUUCUACUAUGAUCAACCCAAAGAGAUAGUCAGAAACAUAAACUAUAAAAAAUCUUGCAUGACAGGAUGAUGUCCCUCAAGAAAUUCUUGCCCAUCAAUUAUCACAUUAUGCGUGCUACCUAAACCAAAUAACUGCUGUUAUUAGUCAUCGGCAGCUAUCUUUGGUUCAAGAGUUAUUUGUCGAAGUGGAGUAGCCUCAAAUUGCCUAUUUAUUGCUCUUCUUGUUCAGUUUUGGCUUAUCCACUCUUUGUUCUUUAUCAGUGCUCUUCUCAGCCUUAUCAUCUCCUCUUCCCUUUCAAAGAUCCUUGAAUAAUUGCUUUCUCUAAUCCUGUCCUGUUUCUCUAGGCACCUGUAAGAGAUGUGACUCCUGUUCUCAAUUGUGUCAAUAAAGUGUACUGGACUGUACUUAUUAAAGUAGGUACAAUAAAAUAAUUACAAAUAGCAGCAGAAUAUUGAGUUCUCAUUGAAAGCUUCUGUCUGUAUGGUAAAGUAAGUCCCAAGUUGUCCCUGAGACCAGUAACCACAUAAUCAUAGCAGCCUGCUCAGAGAAAGUCUAUAAAGGAUCCAUUAGCUCCAAGGUUUCAAAUUAAGAGAGGCUUAGCAGCAUAGACUCCUGUAUCAAUAAAAAUCUGAACACUUUGGGGCCUUCUCAGGAGGUCUUCAAUCAUCUCUGCAGAGAUGGUAAUAAGACGCUUUGUUAAAACUGGAAUAUGAGCAGUUCCAGACCCAGCAAUAGCAAUAGCCUAGAAAGCAAUUUUUCUUCAAUUUUUCAAGGUGGGUAUUUCUUUUUCAGAAGUGACUAAUUUGCUACUUUUUUUUUUUUAAUUGUAAACAAGACACCAUUUUUAGAUGUGUAGUGUACACUCCUUAAAAAUUUUGCAAGUGAAUGCCACCAGGAAAACAAUCUUUAUUGCUGGCUUCAUAAAGGAAUAAGCUUUCUGCAACAGUCCAGCAUGUAUGUCAUUCUGUGCACUGGUCAUCUUACCACUUCAAAACACGCUAAGUAUUGACCAAUCUCCACUAAAAAGGACAGAAGAAGAAAAUUCUCAAUUAUUAUUAAGCUCUCACAUGACUAGUAAAAUAAGCUUUCCAUCAUUUUGAUGAGACUGACCAAAUUCUUUGUUCUUCGCCAUCAUCCAUAAAAAGGAAGCAGCAAAAUGUCAACUAGUAUGAGAAAUAGUGUGGGAAAGGACUGCUUAUUAAAUCUUAGACACAGAAGAAUUUUGACUAGAGCUUAAAAUGAGACCAGAUCUUACCUUACAGAAAGCCACCUGGAAACCACAGAAGUGUUUGUUUAACUUUGUGGUUGAUUUUUCAGGUCCUACAUUUGCACGCUAUCCAUGAAUCAUCAGUUAUUUUUCAAUAUCUCAUGUGUAUAAUCAGUAAGUUCUUGCCCCAGGUACCUCUGCUUUUGUGAUUGUUUUGAGAUACCUGUAGAGAACCACCUUCUUUGAGUCUUGUUAUAAGGCACCCAUACUUAUUCAGUAUAAACCACUGCUCACAGACAUAAGUAAUUCAAACUUCAGUGGACUCUAGAUUUUAAAUAUCCUGGAGUAAUUAUUGUCACUAACUGCCCCAAGAUUUGUAGUGGGCAAACAGCUUUUAAAACAACCUUGAGAAUUCACUUACAUAUAGUAGCACUGCUACUAGUGCCUGGAAAUCCCAGUAAUUCCAAAUGUAGCCUCAAAGAGAACAGAUAUGCUAAAGAGCUGACCAAAUACACCAUCUUUUUAUCAUAUGUUAUUAUUUAUUGCACAAGAAAUGCUACCACAAUACUUACUACCUUGCUUUCCUUGGUAGUAAAGGGCAAUUGUAACGGUCUUUUCACUCCAGGGAGAAAAAAAUCACAUUAUUAUGAGAUUCUGUAAAAGUAUGCAAAAAGCUGUGGUGAAAAAAGGGUGAUAACUACCUGAUUAGGUAUGUCGUCAUGGCAUAGGAACCUGUAAAUAAACAGAACUUCAAGGUAAUCUAGUAAAAUAAAGCAUCACACAUCCUCAAAAAGAAAGAAUUUCUGGAUUAUUCACCAGUCAUGAAAUCAAUAAGCAUCUACCCAGUAUAUCAAAUUCCUAGAUGAUAAAUGCAACUGUGGGUAAACUGAAGAGGAAAUAAAGAUGACUGUUUUGUUUCACAUUUAGGUCCAAAUUUCCAGUACUCUAAUUAAGACUUAUUCUAGUCUUGCUUACUUAGACAAAAAGCUGCAACUUUUAAAAACAGAGAUCAAAGCUUAAUGGUAGAAUUAAUAAAUAAACUGCAGUUGUCACAUUUAGAAAGGUGAGCCAAAGGACAUGUGUCUGAGGUGGCAAGCUUUCUCCUCUGAGUUGCAUGGCUGCAGGGAAAAGACAUAAAAUGGGUUACAAUAGCAGCCUUGCUUCAUUUUAAAAGUGGGGCCAGUGAAAUUUCAGUUUAGUGGUAGUUCACUCCUAUCUUCGUGAGGCAAUACUUUGGCUACACUGUAGUGCACUUUGUGGUCUAACAAUGAAUACUUAAACAGAAAGUAUGCCCCUGUAAUAAGCCCCCACAGUAAAAAAAUUAAUAUUAAUGCAAUGAAAAAAAUUGUUCUUCCUUUUGAACCCAGUGAGGACUGCAAAGACAGUGAUUAUUAAAGAAUUCAGCGGGUUGCAAAAUUGACCUUAACCUGGAAAAAGCUAGGCAGAAGCAGAGGAAAAACUGAUUAAAAAUUCAAUGCAGCAUUGCAUGGCCUUGGUAACCUGGGACUGGGGUACUCAAGAGUUACUGACAGCUUGCAUUUCAAAGCUGAUUUGUAAAGUUGCCAACAGGUCAGUAAUCAGUAACUUUACAGAGCAUGCAGCUGACACAGAAAGCCAAAAAGGAACAACAAAAGACAUAAUUGGAUCUUAGGACCCAAAAGAUGCCAUGAAUGCAUUCAUUUUUGGCACUACGCAUGCUGCAUGUUGCGACAAGAUAUGGUUAUAAUGAAGGUGAUUUGCAUAUUUUUCAUGAAGUUUGGAUGCACUGAAUUAUAAAAAUAACCCCCUAACAUGAAGCUAUUUCACUGGCACUUGGAAGUCUUAUUUGAAACACUGACAGAACCACAGAAGUAUUUAGUGAUGAAAGAAAAAAAUUUUUAAAAAAAGUCUAUUAGGUCAUCACAGGCAUCUGCCUUCGAAUGCUGAAUUAUUUCCUUCAGUUUAUUUAGAAGUUGUUCAUAUUUACCAAAAUAAAGAAACAAUAAAGGAAACCACUGAAAUAACCAUAGACAACUUAAAACUUCACAGCACUUAACUCUUUGGACUCAAAUAGGAAAGUUCUUACCCAGUUGCCACUGAUUUCGGUGAGCUAGAAGGUUUUAAAAGGACUAAGUGUAUUGUCUAAGGGCCUACUGGAUAAAACUCCUUCCCUUUAAGGUCCCCUUGUCCUUCCUCUCCCUGCUUGUCAUCAGCCCUGAGGACUGGAUAUCAUAGUUCAUAUGCAGAGGUUUCCAGGUCAAUGACUGUAUGCAAAGCUCCAUGCCCUGUCACGAGGUGCUGCGUCUGUCUUCUCAUACAUUUAUCUGGUAGUUUUGUCUAAUAUGGGAACUGCAAGCUCUACUAUCUUCUUGCUUUGUGUGGUACCAUCCCAGAUUUCCAGACACGGAGCUCUUGGAAACACUGGCCACAGCUGUCAGAGACUUGGACUGGACAUGCACUGGUGUCAGACAUGAACUGUUGGACUGGGCAGAGCCAGCACUGGCAAACUCUGCCCUGUUCCCAGUCCUCUGUCAUAAUAGCCAGUGCACAAAUUGCAGCUGGACUCACAGGAGGCUUGAUGCUGUCACCUCCUUCUCUCUCACAAGGCAGGUGUCUGAAGCCUCUCCUUCUGAAGCAUGGCUGUAGGGACUGAACGUGUAUGUGAGCAACGUGGCUCUUCCUGGUGGCCUGUCUUUCAGUGUGCUAGGUUUUGGCAGGCCUUAGCCUCAGCUCAGUUGGGGUCUGCACAGUGUGAGGGGAGUUAGACUGUUACAGUGUGACUUAGACUGCCAGUGUCAUGCCUAGGCUUCCAGACCCACCAGCAGCAAGUCAGUCACACAACCAUGAAGACCCUCACUCAUGCUCCUUAUGGAUGUCUCCAACCAGCCCAGGGACAAAAGUCAUGCUUGAGAAGGCUAAACAUGGAGAGGCAUUUGCAUCACACCAGAAACACAUUUAAAUAGGUCUGACUCAGAACAAAUUAUAUUUUAUAACAGACCUGUUGUCAUAGUCGUAGUACUGUAUGCAAAUCUUUCAGUUCUCCUUGGGAAUUCUUUUUAGUCCUGUGCCUGGUCUUUCUGACAAUCAGUUUGUGAAUAUCUAUCUCUCUAUCUACAGCCAUCAUGUAUUUCUGCUAGGAUGUUAAAGCUUUAUAUUUUCUGUAUUCAAUUCAAAGAAAAAAUAUAAAUAUUAACAUAGAAGUGCAUAUUCCUUUGGUAAUUUAUCAUUAUUUUGCUCUUUUCAAUACGCUAGUGAUAAAUAAGUUCCAGUUUGAGGAUUAAAUCAUUUAUUCUUAGGGAUUUUUAGGAGUUCUUAUUUCCUACAAGUUCCAUACAGGAAUUAAGCUGUGAGUGUCAAAAUCUGAAUACGCAAGCAAUCCAAGGAUUUUUGGAUCCUCAUUUAUUGGAACAGCAGGCUUCUUUACCAGGCCUUCAGAGCAAGUAAUGGUCAGCUUUACAUUUUUGCUCUUGAAGGCGUUUUCUCUUGUGCUUAUAGGAGAAAAAUCGGUUUGUUGUUAUUAGAUAGAAACUACUACUUCUGCCUUUUAAAGUGGAAGAUGUAACUGGCAAGAGUCAACAACAUGAAAGAAGCAAUGCCAUGAGUUUUCUGAUGUGAACCUUGGAUGCAGCUUUUGCUUGUUCGCUCUGCCAGGUAUGCAGCAGCAGAAAUGCAAGGCUUGUGUGAAAGGAGACCAAUGUCCGAGAUCACCUACAGUGAGGUGAAUGCAUGUUUCCUCUAUGGUUUCCUCAAAAAGUAUUAGUACAGCAGGAGGUAGGAGAGUGAAACAGGGUUAGGCAUGGCAAGGUAUGUCGAGGCAUUAGGGGGAAUCUGCAUAGUCUUCCAUGGUUGUUUUAAACUGAGUGAUAUCAGGGCUUGAUGUGAUUAUAGCAACACAAAGUGUCACAAAAUGAAUAUAAGUAAUACAGUUCUGUCAUUACAAUGCCAGACUCACUCUUCUAUCUUCACCAACUCAUUCUGAAUGCAAAUUUAUUCAUACCAAGCUCUUGUGAAGCAAGAAUGUGAUUUAUUUUUGAAUAUGCAAGUGCCAAACUUUAGAGAUGGAAGAGAUAUUACACAAAAUAUGGUCAGAGGAUAUAGCUAUAAUUAGUGAGGGAAAAUAAGAAACCAAAAUUGGUGAAAUCUUCCUAACAAUCAGUAGGAACCUUGUGUAAGGAGCACAAUUGCCUGUCUCAAACACUGUUAAGACCACAAGGGACUUUGCCAUAGUAUAAGCACAGAAUGGAGCAACAUGAUGGCACUACAUCCAGGCCUAGCAGAGGUGAGAUCUGGCUAGCACAUCCUGAGUAAUGCAUCCAGACAAAAAUUGCCACUGUGGAAAGUUGUGUAAAGAAGCACAUGCUUGUAUGAGUAUCUCUGGUCACACAAAGAUCGUCCCAAGUUAUGGGACAGAUGUCAUCUGGAACCACCAAAGCUCCUCCCAAAUAUGCCUCUGUGGAUACCUGGAACUUGAACUGUAAGUUGAAACACUGUAACGGGAACUUGAGAUAAGAUAAAGGUGGUACUAGUGACUGUUAACUCAGGCCAAGGGGGAGGUUAACACAGCUGGGGGGGAAGAAUGUAUCACUGAUAAUGGACACAAAGAAUGCAGAAUUUAUGGGCCACAAGGAAACCCAACUGGCAACUGUUCUGAACCCAAUUCAGCUCUGACUGGGUAAAAUAUAAUUCUGACAGGGAGACAUCAUGACCACUGACUCAGGGCCACUGACCCAAGAGAUCCACUGACUCAAAAGAAGAAAAAGGCUAAGCAUUGGUCUAAUCAGCAUUAGAAGCAAAGGAAUCAUUAAACUAAUAGAAUAAGAGAACUGUGUAGAUAGUGAGCAUUAAUUCCUUUGUUUACAAAAACGUACAAAUAGUGAAAAGGACCCCCAGCACUGAGAAGCCCAGGGUGAAGAAGGACCAAUGGGAUGCUGCUGGAUUCACAGGUGGUGGCUAUCUUCUGCUUGAGCGAGCUCUCUCUCUCUUCCCCCUCCCCCCUUUUCUGUUUCUUUCUCUGUCUUUCUAUCUCACAUUUACUGUUAAAUAAAAUCUAUACUAUUGACUUCAA